RNAcentral lists this non-coding RNA (41 nucleotides) under Hanusia phi. Lineage: Eukaryota; Cryptophyceae; Pyrenomonadales; Geminigeraceae. The record is from RNAcentral.
UGGAGUCUCCGAACCGUGUCAGGUACUGGCGGAAGCACAAG